RNAcentral lists this ribosomal RNA (468 nucleotides) under uncultured bacterium. RNAcentral describes it as "partial 16S ribosomal RNA". It matches the Rfam family "Bacterial small subunit ribosomal RNA", at positions 28 to 507 of the family's 1533-position model. The record is from RNAcentral.
GACGAACGCUGGCGGCGUGCUUAACACAUGCAAGUCGAACGGAAAGGCCCUGCUUUUGUGGGGUGCUCGAGUGGCGAACGGGUGAGUAACACGUGAGUAACCUGCCCUUGACUUUGGGAUAACUUCAGGAAACUGGGGCUAAUACCGGAUAUGAGCUCCUGCUGCAUGGGGGGGGUUGGAAAGUUUCGGCGGUUGGGGAUGGACUCGCGGCUUAUCAGCUUGUUGGUGGGGUAGUGGCUUACCAAGGCUUUGACGGGUAGCCGGCCUGAGAGGGUGACCGGCCACAUUGGGACUGAGGUACGGCCCAGAGUCCUACGGGAGGCAGCAGUGGGGAAUAUUGCACAAUGGGCGGAAGCCUGAUGCAGCGACGCCGGGUGCGGGAUGACGGCCUUCGGGUUGUAAACCGGUUUCGGCUGUGACGAAGCGUGAGUGACGGUAAUGGGUAAAGAAGCACCGGCUAACUACGUG